This 3624-nucleotide long non-coding RNA is filed under the name Homo sapiens (human). Its description in RNAcentral is "non-protein coding GABPB1-AS1:15". Lineage: Eukaryota; Metazoa; Chordata; Mammalia; Primates; Hominidae. The record is from RNAcentral.
AGUGUUAUUUAAUUUUGUUCACUGUGUUUACAGUGCAGUUUUAGUCACCUGAAAUUCUAAGAGAAAAGAUCAAUAUGGUUUUGCCAAUCAAAGGUCAUUAAUACUUGGAAUGAAAGAUAACUUAUCCUGGUGAUGAACACAUGCCUUUUGAAAAGCAUCAGUAUCUCCUUAAAAUGUAUAAACUACUGUAAUCAAUGAGGAAGACUUUUUCUUAUCAGAUUUAUUAAACUCAUUUACCAUACAAAUAGCAUUAUAACAUUAAAGAAAAUUUUUUAAAAAUUCUGUACCAUAAAACAAUUACUGGUUCCUUCCUACCUGUUUUUAGGUUUGCAGAUGAAUAAUGUGUGGAUUUUUGGCAGACACACUGCUGAAAAUUUUUCACUUUGUUGGGUGAGCAUCUCACCCUAUCUCCAUUUGUCUCCCUGCUCGUGAGUUCUAGAGAAGACCACCAGUAAGCAAGUGAAAUUCUUUGGCCAAGUCACUGAUAUCAGAAUUCCCCAGAGGCACCAAGAACUUUGAUUUCCAGAAAUUGUUUAGGCACAGCCACUCAUUCAACCUUAUAUUUUGUAUCUCAGAGUUAAGGUUGCAUUUGGGCUACCUAGCCUGUAGACUCUAUUUUAAGACAAGCAGGCAUUUAAUAGUUGUUGGUUGGUUGAUUAGAGCUUCUAGCCAAUUUUUAAAAAUUAUUUGAAUAGAUAAGGCAUUCACUGGUUCAAAAAAAAUUUUUUAAUCAUCACUUCCACCCAUCCAGUUAUCACUACUGAAGUAACCUCUACUUUUUGUUUCUUGCAUAUUCUUUCUUUCUUUUUUUUUUUUUUUUUUUUUUUUGAGACAUAGUCUCGAUCUGUCGCCCAGGCUGGGGUGCAGUGGCGUGAUAUUGGGUCACUGCAACCUCCGUCUCCCGAGUUCAAGCAAUUCUCCUGCCUCAGCCUCCCAUGUAGCUGGGACUACAGGCGCGUGCUACCACGCCCGGCUAAUUUUUAUAUUUUUAGUAGAGACGGGGUUUCACCAUGUUGGCCAGGCUGGUCUUGAACUCCUGACCUCAGGUGAUCGCUUGCCUCGGCCUCCCAAAGUGGAGUUACAGGCAUGAAUCACAGUGCCCAGCCUCUUGUAUAUUUUUCCACAUACACAUUUUUUCAUACAUACAUAUGUGAGAAUAAAUGUUCUUAUUCCCCCUCCCCCAUUUUUAUGUAGGAGAAAAUACCGUACAAACCCUUCUGCACAUUGGACUUGAGAUGGCUUUUCCAUCUCAGUGCAAAAAGGCGACAUUUUUUCUUAACCACUGCACAUUAUUUGGUUAUCACCCAGUUUAGGGACAUUGAGUUUCUUUUGUACUCUAGUGCUUGAAUGAUUAUCCUUGGAUGUACAUCUUUCCUUGUAUAUUUAAAUAUGUCUCAUCUCAGUUUCCACAGGUGGAAUUGCUCUGCAAAAAGGCAUAUAUGUAUUUUUAAUUUGCCCUCUAUGUACUAAAUGUUUUCACCCCAGCAUUGCUGAUGGAUUAGAGUGCUGCCAAGUUUUUGGAUUUUUACCUACCAGCUUUUGAAGGGCAGAUUAUUUCAAGUCUUAAUUAAUAUUUUCAGGAACAGUAACAAUAUCAUUUGGUUAAAUUGAGAGAAAUGGGGUUCAGUUGACAGAAUUUGUUCAGGAUAUAGAAUUUUUCUGCUGCUGCUCCUGCAGCUACACACCUACAACUAGUAAAAACAUGGUUGCUUAGGUUGUCAAAUGACCAGCAAACCUGGAGAGGAACCUGGAAUGACUAUAAACAGCUCCACCCACACUUUUUUUGGGCAAAUGUGCAAGCUUAGUAGAAUCUAAAAGGAUACUUCAGCCUUUGUUUGAGUUGCAGAAAAUUAACAUGGUAAGGAGGAAAAAAUCACUAAUUUUUUUAAAAAGUUCCCUGAUACAGGAACUGAAAAUGAUUUUUGACCAACCUGGGCAAUAGAGCAAAAUCCCAUCUCUACAAAAAAAUACAAAAAUUAGUCGGGCAUGGUGGUGCUGCCUGUAGUGACGGCUACUCAUCCUGAGGUGGGAAGAUUGCUUGAGGCCAGGAGGUUGAGGCUGCAGUGAGCCAGGAUCACACCACUGCACCAGCCUGGGCUACAGAGUAAGACUCAAGAAAAAAAAAAGAUGUUUAAUUAAUCUUGCUUCAGUGCUGAGGUGGUACAGGGAGGGAGAAAGGGAUAUUGGGCUAUGAAUUCCAUCUAAACUGGGGAUUUUUAUCAGGGUGUGAAGAAAGAUUUUCAGGAAUAAUUAUCUGAGUUACUUGGAGUAAAAGUAGCAGGAGGAGGAAAAGAGAUAUGGCCUGUGGGUCUCUGACUUGCCAAACUUCUUAUUCAUUUUACAAAUCAUGAUUUCUAGAGCAUCUUAAUCUUUGAGGCCCAGCUGCUUGGAAGUUGCAUAAUCUCUAUACUUCAGUUCCCCCCUAUAAAAUGGGGAAUAUGAUAGAAUCUACCUUGUAUUUGAGAGGACUAAAUAAAUAUAAAGUGCUUAGAAAAGUAAGGACUCAACUACUAGUAAUAAUUAUUUUGACAUGUUUAAGUAAUCAGUACUAUCUGGAAAACUGUGCUAAUAGUGCCUGAUCUACACAAAUUUAAGUGACUAUACCCCUUUUUUGAGUCAGAGUCUCACUACGUUACCCAGGCUGGAGUACAGUGGUACGAUCUCUGCUCAGUGCAGCCUCCGCCUCCUGGGUUCAAGAGAUUCUCCAGCUACUCAGGAGGCUGAGGCAGGAGAAUUGCUUGAACCCGGGAGGCGGAGUUUGCAGUGAGCCAAGAUAGUGCCAUCGCACUCCAGCCUGGACAACAGAGCGAGACUCCAUCUAAAAAAAAAAAAAAAAAAAAAAAAAACUCAGUUUUUGGUUUUGAAAAUGUCAUGAUACCUGUUGAGAUAACUGCUGAAUAGAUGGGUAAUACACAGUCUAGGGCAUGGUAUCAAAAGAACUUGUCACUGUACAUAUCGGAAAUGGUAAAAAUAUGUUUUGCCGUUUUCACGAAUUCAUUCAUUUUUCAUGUUUCAUGAAUUCAUUCUUUUUAAAAAAAAAAAAUCCUGCUAAUUCUCUGUUUCUCUUGCUUUUCUCCUUUAUGACUAAGUUUUCCUCAUUAUGGGUUACCCCACAUUACUGCUUACGAAGACAUCUCUUUAGUCAGAAAACAGUAGCUUGGUUCAGUUCUAGCUUCAUUGUUAAGCUCAUAGGUAAAUCUGGCAAAUGGCUAGAAACAGUCACAUGUUUGCUUGUCCUUAAUGCUCUCACCUUUUCCCAGCUAUUUGGAUGUAUAUACUUUUGCUUACUUUGUAGUGUACCAACUUAAUAUAUGUUAUAGACUAAAUGUUUAUGUCCUCCCAAACUUCAUAUUUUGGAAGCCAGACAUGGUAACUCACACCUGUAAACCUAACACUUUGGGAGGCCUAGGUGGGAGGAUUGCUUGAGUCCGGGAGUUCAGAACCAGCCUGGACAACAUAGUGAGACCCCGUCUCUACAAAAAAAAAAAAAAUUUUUAAUUAGCCAGGUGUGGUGGCAUACACCUGUAGUCCCAGCUACUCAGGAGGCUUGCCUGAGCCCAGAAGUUUGAGACUGCAGUGAGCCAUGAUAUUGCCAGCCUGGGUGACAGAGCAAGACCUUGUCUC